AUUGAACGCUGGCGGCAUGCCUUACACAUGCAAGUCGAACGGCAGCACGGGAGCAAUCCUGGUGGCGAGUGGCGAACGGGUGAGUAAAGUAUCGGAACGUGCCCAGUCGUGGGGGAUGACGUAGCGAAAGUUACGCUAAUACCGCAUACGAUCUAUGGAUGAAAGCGGGGGAUCGCAAGACCUCGCGCGAUUGGAGCGGCCGAUAUCAGAUUAGGUAGUUGGUGGGGUAAAGGCUCACCAAGCCGACGAUCUGUAGCUGGUCUGAGAGGACGACCAGCCACACUGGGACUGAGACGCGGCCCAGACUCCUACGGGAGGCAGCAGUGGGGAAUUUUGGACAAUGGGCGAAAGCCUGAUCCAGCCAUGCCGCGUGCAGGAUGAAGGCCUUCGGGUUGUAAACUGCUUUUGUACGGAACGAAAAGGUUUGGCCUAAUAAGCUGAGCUCAUGACGGUACCGUAAGAAUAAGCACCGGCUAACUACGUGCCAGCCGCCGCAGUAA
RNAcentral lists this ribosomal RNA (500 nucleotides) under uncultured bacterium. Its description in RNAcentral is "partial 16S ribosomal RNA". It matches the Rfam family "Bacterial small subunit ribosomal RNA", at positions 30 to 523 of the family's 1533-position model. The record is from RNAcentral.